This 471-nucleotide ribosomal RNA is filed under the name bacterium enrichment culture. RNAcentral's name for it is "bacterial SSU rRNA". It matches the Rfam family "Bacterial small subunit ribosomal RNA", at positions 1061 to 1532 of the family's 1533-position model. The record is from RNAcentral.
AGUGUCGUGAGAUGUUGGGUUAAGUCCUGCAACGAGCGCAACCCUUGGUUCUAGUUGCCAGCAUUGAGUUGGGCACUCCAGAGCGACUGCCGGUGACAAGUCGGAGGAAGGUGGGGAUGACGUCAAAUCAUCAUGCCCCUUAUGACCUGGGCUACACACGUGAUACAAUGGAUGGUACAAAGGGCAGAGAAGCGGCGACGCAUGAGCGAAUCCCAGAAAACCAUUCUCAGUUCGGAUUGCAGGCAGCAACUCGCCUGCAUGAAGCCGGAAUCGCUAGUAAUCGCGGAUCAGCAUGCCGCGGUGAAUACGUUCCCGGGCCUUGUACACACCGCCCGUCACACCACGAGAGUUUGUAACACCCGAAGUCGGUGAGGUAACCGCAAGGAGCCAGCCGCCGAAGGUGGGACAGAUGAUUGGGGUGAAGUCGUAACAAGGUAGCCGUAUCGGAAGGUGCGGCUGGAUCACCUCCUU